Rana temporaria (common frog) is the source of this 191-nucleotide small nuclear RNA. RefSeq annotates it as U2 spliceosomal RNA. The record is from RefSeq and is a predicted model, not a curated record. The transcript has a single exon. Lineage: Eukaryota; Metazoa; Chordata; Amphibia; Anura; Ranidae.
AUCGCUUCUCUGCCUUUUGACUAAGAUCAAAUGCAGUAUCUGUUCUUAUCAGUUUAAUAUCUGAUACGUCCCUUAUGUGGGAACCAUAUAUUAAAUGGAUUUGUAGAACAGGGAGAUGGAAGAAGAGCUUGCUCUGUCCAAUCCAUGAGUCGGCCUGCUAUUGCAGAACCUCCAGAACCGGUGCAAAGAAA